AGACUGGUGACCCGCGGCUGGGCGCCUCGGCCAUGACUGCGGAGCUGCAGCAGGACGACGCGGCCGGCGCGGCAGACGGCCACGGCUCGAGCUGCCAAAUGCUGUUAAAUCAACUGAGAGAAAUCACAGGCAUUCAGGACCCUUCCUUCCUCCAUGAAGCUCUGAAGGCCAGUAAUGGUGACAUUACUCAGGCAGUCAGCCUUCUCACUGAUGAGAGAGUUAAGGAGCCCAGUCAAGACACUGUUGCUACAGAACCAUCUGAAGUAGAGGGGAGUGCUGCCAACAAGGAAGUAUUAGCAAAAGUGAUAGACCUUACUCAUGAUAACAAAGAUGAUCUUCAGGCUGCCAUUGCUUUGAGUCUACUGGAGUCUCCCAAAAUUCAAGCUGAUGGAAGAGAUCUUAACAGGAUGCACGAAGCAACCUCUGCAGAAACUAAACGCUCAAAGAGAAAACGCUGCGAAGUCUGGGGAGAAAACCCCAAUCCCAAUGACUGGAGGAGAGUUGAUGGUUGGCCAGUUGGGCUGAAAAAUGUUGGCAAUACAUGUUGGUUUAGUGCUGUUAUUCAGUCUCUCUUUCAAUUGCCUGAAUUUCGAAGACUUGUUCUCAGUUAUAGUCUGCCACAAAAUGUACUUGAAAAUUGUCGAAGUCAUACAGAAAAGAGAAAUAUCAUGUUUAUGCAAGAGCUUCAGUAUUUGUUUGCUCUAAUGAUGGGAUCAAAUAGAAAAUUUGUAGACCCGUCUGCAGCCCUGGAUCUAUUAAAGGGAGCAUUCCGAUCAUCUGAGGAACAGCAGCAGUCCCAGGAACAAAUCUGAAAAUCCAAUGGUGCAGCUGUUCUAUGGUACUUUCCUGACU
Molecule: small RNA, 852 nt
Filed under: Pongo abelii (Sumatran orangutan)
Lineage: Eukaryota; Metazoa; Chordata; Mammalia; Primates; Hominidae
Description: processed transcript
Source: RNAcentral